Non-coding RNA from Anas platyrhynchos (mallard), 1374 nucleotides. The record is from RefSeq and is a predicted model, not a curated record. NCBI's taxonomy places the organism in Eukaryota, Metazoa, Chordata, Aves, Anseriformes, Anatidae.
CUCCUGCGGGUUUGGAAGAGGUUUGAUCCAUUUGUUCUCGGGGGGCUCCCUCAGCCAGCUGUCCAAAAAGCGUCUUAAAGUUGGUCUGGACUACCUUGUGCGUAGGGGCCGUGUGAGUAGAGGAAACGGUAACAAGCUGCUACCUGGGAUGACAGUCCCGGACUGGUGCCGCUUCAAACACCCGGUCAGGUCAUUUCGUGACAUUUCUCCUUCUCGGGAACAGCCCGUACUUCAGGGUCAGCAAAGAGGCUCAGUACAGGGCAGAUUCACAACUGAGCGUGGAGAGUCAUGUUUUGUUGUUGUUGUUGUUGUUGUUUUUUCUUUCCGUUUCUUUAACCUUAUUCCUUUCGCUCUGCUAAAGUUUCCAAAGCGAAGUCUAACUGAUACCUCUACCUCUCAGGUUUGGAGGCAAUGAGAUAGAGGUAUAAACAUGUAGGUAUAAACGGUUUAACAAUAGCACAUAAGAGGCUCUUUGCAGCAUGUGUGUAUGGAGAUGUAUGUACCAUAUAUGCACGGGUAAUUUGGUUAAAUGGUGUUUUCUUCAUUUCAGGUAUGCCUUGUAGACCCAACACAUCCAAGUGAAAGUCAGUCAUGAAAGGAGCUGGCCACUCUCUUGCACAGAUGUCUGCUCUGGAAGGCGCUGUCUCCUGGAUAGUCCACUCCUAGCUCUUACCAAAUGAAACAAAUGAUACCACCAACCCUGGAAGUUACGUACCUCAUUUUCAGCAGUAUGUUCUGUGAUCCUUCCCAGCAGAGUUUCUUGGGAACAAGUAUACAAGAUAAACGGCCUUUUCUUGGCCCAGGAGAAAAUAAGCAAGUUCUCCUGACUUCUGAUAUAGUGUAUCUCAAGAGAAGCACACAGUGCAGAAUGUAUGGGUUAGCUUACUUUGCAGGAACUUCCUUACAGAAGUGUCUUGAGUCCUUUCUCAAUACAGUUGUGCUUUUUAUAAUCUAGGUGCUCUGUUUUUAUUACGUAUUUUCAUGUUUUUAUAAUAGCGUAUACAUAUUAUAUAUAAUCACAGAGAUUAUAUGCAUAUUACAUGUUAUAUGGGUAUCUGUAGAUUUACAGACACACAAAAUUCAUGCAGCAUCAUAUAAAAUCUAAAUGUGGGUUUGCAGGCUAAACCCAACAAAUUGUUGAUUGCAUCCUCCAGGUAUCUCAUUGCCCUCAGGUCCAAGUGCAAUACACCCGAAGGCUUUAAAUAUUCUUUAAGAUUAAGUCUAGUUGUUCAUUUGGGGAAUAAAAAAAAAGUAGGAAAACAGCAGGCUAUCUUUUGAAAAUUAAUCCUGUCGUUUCUGCACCACUUGGGGAAAACAAUCCCCUUUAUACAUGCCUGGAAAGGCAUGUUCCAGUACACCCUGGAAAAAAAAAAA